AGUUUGAUCCGUGGCUCGAGGACGAACGCUGGCGGCGCGCCUAACACAUGCAAGUCGAACGAGAGAGAAGGAGCUUGCUUCUUCGAUCGAGUGGCGAACGGGUGAGUAACGCGUGAGGAACCUGCCUCAAAGAGGGGGACAACAGUUGGAAACGACUGCUAAUACCGCAUAAGCCCACGGGUCGGCAUCGAUCUGAGGGAAAAGGAGCAAUCCGCUUUGAGAUGGCCUCGCGUCCGAUUAGCUAGUUGGUGAGGUAACGGCCCACCAAGGCGACGAUCGGUAGCCGGACUGAGAGGUUGAACGGCCACAUUGGGACUGAGACACGGCCCAGACUCCUACGGGAGGCAGCA
Molecule: ribosomal RNA, 350 nt
Filed under: uncultured bacterium
Lineage: Bacteria
Description: bacterial SSU rRNA
Rfam family: Bacterial small subunit ribosomal RNA
Source: RNAcentral